AUUGAACGCUGGCGGCAGGCCUAACACAUGCAAGUCGAACGGUAACAGGAAGAAGCUUGCUUCUUUGCUGACGAGUGGCGGACGGGUGAGUAAUGUCUGGGAAACUGCCUGAUGGAGGGGGAUAACUACUGGAAACGGUAGCUAAUACCGCAUAACGUCGCAAGACCAAAGAGGGGGACCUUCGGGCCUCUUGCCAUCGGAUGUGCCCAGAUGGGAUUAGCUAGUAGGUGGGGUAACGGCUCACCUAGGCGACGAUCCCUAGCUGGUCUGAGAGGAUGACCAGCCACACUGGAACUGAGACACGGUCCAGACUCCUACGGGAGGCAGCAGUGGGGAAUAUUGCACAAUGGGCGCAAGCCUGAUGCAGCCAUGCCGCGUGUAUGAAGAAGGCCUUCGGGUUGCAAAGUACUUUCAGCGGGGAGGAAGGGAGUAAAGUUAAUACCUUUACUCAUUGACGUUACCCGCAGAAGAAGCACCGGCUAACUCCGUG
This 490-nucleotide ribosomal RNA is filed under the name uncultured bacterium. RNAcentral describes it as "partial 16S ribosomal RNA". It matches the Rfam family "Bacterial small subunit ribosomal RNA", at positions 30 to 507 of the family's 1533-position model. The record is from RNAcentral.